GGCCUAACACAUGCAAGUCGAACGAUGAUCCCAGCUUGCUGGGGGAUUAGUGGCGAACGGGUGAGUAACACGUGAGUAACCUGCCCUUAACUCUGGGAUAAGCCUGGGAAACUGGGUCUAAUACCGGAUAUGACUCCUCAUCGCAUGGUGGGGGGUGGAAAGCUUUAUUGUGGUUUUGGAUGGAUCCGCGGCCUAUCAGCUUGUUGGUGAGGUAAUGGCUCACCAAGGCGACGACGGGUAGCCGGCCUGAGAGGGUGACCGGCCACACUGGGAUUGAGACACGGCCCAGACUCCUACGGGAGGCAGCAGGUGGGGGAAUAUUGCACAAUGGGCGAAAGCCUGAUGCAAGCGACGCCGCGUAGGGAUGACGGCCUUCGGGUUGUAAACUUCUUUCAGUAGGGAAGAAGCGAAAGUGCCGGUACCUGCAGAAGAAGCGCCGGCUAACUACGUGCCAGCAGCCGCGGUAAUACGUAGGGCGCAAGCGUUAUCCGGAAUUAUUGGGCGUAAAGAGCUCGUAGGCGGUUUGUCGCGUCUGCCGUGAAAGUCCGGGGCUCAACUCCGGAUCUGCGGUGGGUACGGGCAGACUAGAGUGAUGUAGGGGAGACUGGAAUUCCUGGUGUAGCGGUGAAAUGCGCAGAUAUCAGGAGGAACACCGAUGGCGAAGGCAGGUCUCUGGGCAUUAACUGACGCUGAGGAGCGAAAGCAUGGGGAGCGAACAGGAUUAGAUACCCUGGUAGUCCAUGCCGUAAACGUUGGGCACUAGGUGUGGGGGACAUUCCACGUUUUCCGCGCCGUAGCUAACGCAUUAAGUGCCCCGCCUGGGGAGUACGGCCGCAAGGCUAAAACUCAAAGGAAUUGACGGGGGCCCGCACAAGCGGCGGAGCAUGCGGAUUAAUUCGAUGCAACGCGAAGAACCUUACCAAGGCUUGACAUGAACCGCAAACACCUGGAAACAGGUGCCCCGCUUGCGGUCGGUUUACAGGUGGUGCAUGGUUGUCGUCAGCUCGUGUCNUGAGAUGUUGGGUUAAGU
This 1030-nucleotide ribosomal RNA is filed under the name Elbe River snow isolate IsoC2. Its description in RNAcentral is "bacterial SSU rRNA". It matches the Rfam family "Bacterial small subunit ribosomal RNA", at positions 45 to 1085 of the family's 1533-position model. The record is from RNAcentral. Lineage: Bacteria; Bacillati; Actinomycetota; Actinomycetes; Micrococcales; Micrococcaceae.